Regulatory RNA element from Moellerella wisconsensis ATCC 35017, 328 nucleotides. It matches the Rfam family "RNase E 5' UTR element". Rfam says of the family: This family represents a conserved element found in the 5' UTR of RNase E mRNA. RNase E is a key regulatory enzyme in the pathway of mRNA degradation in E. coli that is able to auto-regulate the degradation of its own mRNA in response to changes in RNase E activity. This rne 5' UTR element acts as a sensor of cellular RNase E concentration enabling tight regulation of RNase E concentration and synthesis. The record is from Rfam. Lineage: Bacteria; Pseudomonadati; Pseudomonadota; Gammaproteobacteria; Enterobacterales; Morganellaceae.
UUCUUUAAAACAAUAAUUGGCAAAUAAAGUAAGAAAGUAAGAUAUUUAGCUGUUUGAUUGAGUAAUAACGCUGCAAUGGCGUAAGACGUUAAGCAAAAUCAAAUAAUUAGCGAGCAGCGAAUAAUUGCUUAUUGGGUCGGGGACUAAUCGUAUUGUUUUAAUAGCUACGGUGCCUCGAUUAAGAACGCUGAAUUUUUAAUCGAAAAAUCAGGUUCACCGAAAAAUAACGCGCCUCUAUACAGUCGACAUCCGCGAGGCUGACGAUCCUGUAAAAGUCACGGGGCCAUCGGUUUACAGUAGCACCAUUUUUUCGUUGCUCUUUAUUGAA